This 498-nucleotide ribosomal RNA is filed under the name uncultured bacterium. RNAcentral's name for it is "partial 16S ribosomal RNA". It matches the Rfam family "Bacterial small subunit ribosomal RNA", at positions 28 to 523 of the family's 1533-position model. The record is from RNAcentral.
GAUGAACGCUAGCGGCAGGCCUAAUACAUGCAAGUCGGACGGGAUUUGGGAGCUUGCUCCCAAUGAGAGUGGCGCACGGGUGCGUAACACGUAUGCAACCUACCUUAAUCAGGGGGAUAGCCUCUCGAAAGAGAGAUUAACACCGCAUAAUAUAUUUUUAUGGCAUCGUAGAAAUAUCAAAUAUUUAUAGGAUUAAGAUGGGCAUGCGGAACAUUAGCUAGUUGGUAAGGUAACGGCUUACCAAGGCUACGACGUUUAGGGGAUCUGAGAGGAUGACCCCCCACACUGGUACUGAGACACGGACCAGACUCCUACGGGAGGCAGCAGUAAGGAAUAUUGGUCAAUGGGCGCAAGCCUGAACCAGCCAUGCCGCGUGCAGGAAGACGGCCCUAUGGGUUGUAAACUGCUUUUGUACCGGAAUAAACCCUUUUACGUGUAAAAGGCUGAAUGUACGGUAAGAAUAAGGAUCGGCUAACUCCGUGCCAGCCGCCGCCGUAA